UUCCCUCUAGCUCAGUUGUUAAAGAAUCUGCCUGCAAUGCAGGAGAACCAGGUUCGAUUCCUGGGUUGGGAA
Molecule: transfer RNA, 72 nt
Filed under: Bos taurus (domestic cattle)
Lineage: Eukaryota; Metazoa; Chordata; Mammalia; Artiodactyla; Bovidae
Also listed under: 5 other names
Rfam family: tRNA
About the family: Transfer RNA (tRNA) molecules are approximately 80 nucleotides in length. Their secondary structure includes four short double-helical elements and three loops (D, anti-codon, and T loops).
Source: Rfam by way of RNAcentral